AUAAAAAUUGAAUACGCCUAAGGCUUGUCUGAUGUCUUAGGAAUUGAGUAUAUGAAAACCGUACUGAAUAAGGCGCGAGUAAUGAGUUAGGCAAAGCGGUAGCCCUGUGUAAUGUCACUGAAAGCAAGUUUCAAACGCUCCCCCAUCAUAGGCAAAGUUAAAUAAGAAGUUACCGCUUGGGUGUUCAUCAUAGCCGAAUUGAUGUGAGGACUGAUUGAGUUACUAGCGCUGACAUAUUAAUUAGUUCAAGAGGGGGGGAUAAAAACUGCGUUUGCGUGGAUAGUUAUACCCUUUAGCAAGGUAACCA
RNAcentral lists this unclassified non-coding RNA (307 nucleotides) under Lactococcus phage 5440. The record is from RNAcentral. Lineage: Duplodnaviria; Heunggongvirae; Uroviricota; Caudoviricetes.